UGGGGAAUAUUGGACAAUGGGGGAAACCCUGAUCCAGCAAUGCCGCGUGAGUGAAGAAGGCCUUAGGGUUGUAAAGCUCUUUCGCCCGCGAAGAUAAUGACGGUAGCGGGAGAAGAAGCCCCGGCUGACUCCGUGCCAGCAGCCACGGUAAUACGGAGGGGGCUAGCGUUGUUCGGAAUUACUGGGCGUAAAGCGUACGUAGGCGGAUGCGCAAGUUGGGGGUGAAAUCCCGGGGCUUAACCUCGGAAUUGCCCUCAAAACUGCACGUCUUGAGACCGAGAGAGGUAAGGGGAAUUCCUAGUGUAGAGGUGAAAUUCGUAGAUAUUAGUAAGAACACCAGUGGCGAAGGCGCCUUACUGGCUCGGUACUGACGCUGAGGUACGAAAGCGUGGGGAGCAAACA
RNAcentral lists this ribosomal RNA (402 nucleotides) under uncultured bacterium. Its description in RNAcentral is "bacterial SSU rRNA". It matches the Rfam family "Bacterial small subunit ribosomal RNA", at positions 355 to 774 of the family's 1533-position model. The record is from RNAcentral.